UACGUAGGGGGCAAGCGUUGUCCGGAUUUAUUGGGCGUAAAGAGCGUGUAGGCGGCCAGGUAGGUCCGUUGUGAAAACUCGAGGCUCAACCUCGAGACGCCGAUGGAAACCAUCUGGCUAGAGUCCGGAAGAGGAGAGUGGAAUUCCCGGUGUAGCGGUGAAAUGCGCAGAUAUCGGGAAGAACACCCGUGGCGAAGGCGGUUCUCUGGGACGGUACUGACGCUGAUGCGCGAAAGCGUGGGAGCAAACGGG
RNAcentral lists this ribosomal RNA (252 nucleotides) under uncultured bacterium. RNAcentral describes it as "partial 16S ribosomal RNA". It matches the Rfam family "Bacterial small subunit ribosomal RNA", at positions 524 to 776 of the family's 1533-position model. The record is from RNAcentral.